RNAcentral lists this small RNA (78 nucleotides) under Flavobacterium sp. TAB 87. RNAcentral's name for it is "Flavo-1 RNA". It matches the Rfam family "Flavo-1 RNA". Lineage: Bacteria; Pseudomonadati; Bacteroidota; Flavobacteriia; Flavobacteriales; Flavobacteriaceae. The record is from Rfam by way of RNAcentral.
UUUUAGCCCCGGUAGCAGCGGCAUCCUUUUGUUGGCUUCUUUAGCCAGCAAAAGAUACAGCGGAUGACGGGAAAUAGC